This 762-nucleotide ribosomal RNA is filed under the name Triticum aestivum (bread wheat). RNAcentral's name for it is "partial small subunit ribosomal RNA". The record is from RNAcentral. Lineage: Eukaryota; Viridiplantae; Streptophyta; Magnoliopsida; Poales; Poaceae.
AUGGCGAAGCGGCUGCGCGAGGCGGCGCCUUGGGAGGAGGCGCCGGGGUCGCCGGUGAACGGCCUGGACGACGGCUGCCUCAUGCAUAUCUUCAGCUUCCUCAGCCCGAUCCCAGAUAGGUAUAACACCGCCCUCGUUUGCCACAGAUGGCGCUUCCUGGCAUGCCAUCCUCGGUUAUGGUUGCGUGUUGAGAGGCCACUCAGAAAUGUAAAGGAGCCUGGAGUUUAUCCAAAUCUCGAGGCUGCUAUUUCUGCUGCUAGGCCCGGUGACACUAUUCUAAUUGCUGCCGGUGGCACCUAUCUUGCAUGUAAUAUCCAAAUAAAGAAGCCCCUUUGCAUUAUUGGCGGGGGUGAGCUUCCUGAUGACACUGUAUUGACAUGUUCCCGUGGCUCCGACAAUGCACUGGAGUUCCUUUCCACGUGCAAGAUCGCCAAUCUUACUAUCAAGGCGGAGCUCGGAUGCUGCCUGCUUCACCGAAGCGGCAAGCUAACUAUUCAGGAGUGCUUGCUCCAGUGCGAGCCAAACCCUCUGGACUACCUGUCCUUCCCGAUAGUCAGCACGGCGAUCGAAUACAAUCCAUUAUCAUCGUCGCUCAAGGAGCAGCAGGGGCACGGCGUGACGGUCGUCCGCACCCGGAUCGAAGGCGGCGCCAAGGCGGUCCGGACCAACGGGACCCUGGCGCUGCAGCGCGUGCGGGCCAUCUACGCCCGCAGGUCCGUCUUCUUCUGGUUCGAGGUAGGGGAGAAGCUGGAACCCCUGUGA